UAUUUUUCACGUGAAACCAAAGAAAGAAAAAGAAACCCUCCAUCCUUCUUCCAAUCUCACGCACGACAACACAGCUGUGCCCUCCUCUCCACCUUGCUCUUCGCGGCGCCGUCCCAGCCGCCACAGCCACCGGCGAUAACGCCGCCACCGUGAGCUCGCCGCCGUCGAUACUCCGCCGCCGCCAGCACAUCCCUGACCACCGUCCCGCCACCACCACCGCGUGCCGCCACCGCACGCAACUUCUUGCUCAGCCUUGCCGCGAACCACCGUCCGUCCGCCGGCCAACUCUUCUCUCUCCUCCUUAAUUCUUGGUUAUUUCUUAAACCGCGGAGAAUUCUCUUUAGGCGACUUUUGAAAGUGUUAAAGUGGCCUAUCAGUUUGUUUACACAAGGUACGUACAUACCUGUGUGCUUGGAAUGUGUGUUAAUUGUUGAAACCAUGUUGAAUUGUUGAUAAACUUGGUUAUGUUGAUGUUGUUGAUGAACUUAGUCAGGUUGAAAUUGCAUGUUUAAUACUGUUGGAUGAACAUAUUGAACUUAUAUUGCAUUUUGAGGAUUAUAACAUGUUAGUAUGGAUGAUUGAUGCAAACAUGUUUGAUUGGGAACACUAGAUUACUUAGUAUAUAAUUCAGAUCAGUUGAUUGUUGUUCCCUUUUAGCUUUUCACUACUUUAUGAGGGCGGAGGACCUUGUUUAGUAAGUUGAAACCUUAUACCCAUAUACAGGGGUUGAUCAGUAUUAAAGGAAAGAUUGGAGUUAAUUGGAAUGAGUCUUGUUCGAUGCCUUUGUUAGCACUUACUUAAUUCCAAGAUAAAAACAGUUGUAAAUAAAAGUGAGUUGUAUGCCUUAUGUGAUUGUUGAGUCAUAACAGGGUGUCAAUUUGUAAAUCAUGUAAAGUGAAACUGAGUAGCAAUAGCUUUAGACUGUGCAUGUCUAAAGUGACGGACAAACAGGAGUUGGGGUUCAUGGUGGUAGCCCAUGGCCUUUCAUUCGGACCGGAUUGAUCACCGCGUCCUAUUUUUAGUCAAACGUUCCUCGAUAUCGCAGGUCACUGAGGUUACGGAGUCGCGCCCGUACCUCGUCUUCCUUAGUGAAGACUUCUAGCUAGAAAACUCGGUCCAUUGUCAUUUUAAAUUAAAAUAAUAUUAUUGUUAUAAAGGUCUAGUCCAGUCAAGUAUAGCUUUCAAGUCAGUAUGUUUUGGUUUUCCUUGCUUAUGUUUUAUUUAGUAUCAUGUUAGGAUUGUUCGGUUAAUAUAAUCAUGUUAGGAUUAUCAUUUAUUUAGUAUGUAGUACUCAGCUUUGCUGAUUACGUGCUUUUGCUUGUGCAUGUUGAUCAUGGCUAUGCCUUAUUGAUCCUGUGAUGACCCAAUCUUUGGUGAGCAAUCUCUAAGGAUCAAUAACUAUUGUCCAUCUGCAGGUUUGAAGAUGUUGCAUCAUUGGGAUCGGGAAUAGAGAGCUUGUAUUUAGUUUUGAUUUGCUAAGUUGACUUGGGUUUGUUUAAUUGGACUUUAAACUUGUUAGUUGAUCUUAUUUUUGUUGAUUGGUUUUUGGAUUAACUAUGUAAUCGAUUAUUUAUAAACCUAAGGUUAUUUAUUAUGUUUUCUGCUGCAAAAUUCUGAAUAAGCCGUUACGUUUUCACA
Molecule: long non-coding RNA, 1638 nt
Organism: Spinacia oleracea (spinach)
Lineage: Eukaryota; Viridiplantae; Streptophyta; Magnoliopsida; Caryophyllales; Amaranthaceae
Exons: 4
Source: RefSeq, a predicted model, not a curated record